AAGACUAUAGACCUGCGGAGUACCUGCGGAAGGAUCAUUAACGUAUCUAUGAUGGGGUGCGGAGCGCCCUGCUCCGGUCGAACGGCCGUGCAGCGGGUGCGCCGCCCCCGUCCCACCUCACAAACCCACUGUGAACAUUCACCGGCGGAGGGGGCUCGGUCUGCGCCGUGUCCCCGAUGCCGAAUACCCAAACUCCAGUUGCAAAGAACGUCGUGCGGACUCGGUGCCGCCUAAAACAUG
This 240-nucleotide unclassified non-coding RNA is filed under the name soil metagenome. RNAcentral describes it as "partial contains 5.8S ribosomal RNA, internal transcribed spacer 2, and large subunit ribosomal RNA". The record is from RNAcentral.